This 253-nucleotide ribosomal RNA is filed under the name uncultured bacterium. Its description in RNAcentral is "partial 16S ribosomal RNA". It matches the Rfam family "Bacterial small subunit ribosomal RNA", at positions 524 to 776 of the family's 1533-position model. The record is from RNAcentral.
UACGGAGGGUGCUAGCGUUGUUCGGAAUUACUGGGCGUACAGCGUACGUAGGCGGCUUUUUAAGUCAGAGGUGAAAGCCCGGGGCUCAACCCCGGAAUUGCCUUUAAGACUGCAUCGCUUGAAUCGCGGAGAGGUGAGUGGAAUUCCGAGUGUAGAGGUGAAAUUCGUAGAUAUUCGGAGGAACACCAGUGGCGAAGGCGGCUCACUGGACGCGUAUUGACGCUGAGGUGCGAAAGCGUGGGGAGCAAACAGG